RNAcentral lists this ribosomal RNA (254 nucleotides) under uncultured bacterium. RNAcentral's name for it is "partial 16S ribosomal RNA". It matches the Rfam family "Bacterial small subunit ribosomal RNA", at positions 1130 to 1382 of the family's 1533-position model. The record is from RNAcentral.
GUUGGGCACUCUAAGGAGACUGCCGGUGUUAAACCGGAGGAAGCGGGGAUGACGUCAAGUCCUCAUGGCCCUUAUGGUCCAGGGCUACACACGUGCUACAAUGGCCGGUACAAAGGGUAGCAAGACCGCGAGGUGGAGCCAACCCCAAAAAGCCGGUCUCAGUUCCGGAUUGGAGUCUGCAACUCGACUCCAUGAAGUUGGAAUCGCUAGUAAUCGUGGAUCAGCAUGCCACGGUGAAUACGUUCCCGGGCCUU